This 92-nucleotide non-coding RNA is filed under the name Haptolina ericina. Lineage: Eukaryota; Haptophyta; Prymnesiales; Prymnesiaceae. The record is from RNAcentral.
CUCUGGUGGCUGCGGUGUUCCUUUUUUAGCUCCGCUGUCAUACACGACACCAUUUUGCAUUCAACGCCUGUUCGAUGUAACGAUGAUGCUUC